This 374-nucleotide ribosomal RNA is filed under the name uncultured organism. RNAcentral's name for it is "partial 16S ribosomal RNA". It matches the Rfam family "Bacterial small subunit ribosomal RNA", at positions 527 to 896 of the family's 1533-position model. The record is from RNAcentral.
GUAGGUGGCAAGCGUUGUCCGGAAUUAUUGGGCGUAAAGCGCGCGCAGGCGGUCCUUUAAGUCUGAUGUGAAAGCCCACGGCUCAACCGUGGAGGGUCAUUGGAAACUGGAGGACCUGAGUACAGAAGAGGAAAGCGGAAUUCCAAGUGUAGCGGUGAAAUGCGUAGAGAUUUGGAGGAACACCAGUGGCGAAGGCGGCUUUCUGGUCUGUAACUGACGCUGAGGCGCGAAAGCGUGGGGAGCAAACAGGGAUUAGAUACCCUGGUAGUCCACGCCGUAAACGAUGAGUGCUAAGUGUUAGGGGGUUUCCCGCCCCCUUAGUGCUGCAGCUAACGCAUUAAGCACUCCGCCUGGGGAGUACGGCCGCAAGGCUG